UCGACUAUAUUUCAGUCAUCAUCAGGAUAAACUCAUAUUUAUCAGGUUUAUCAGUUUUUUUUUUAUUUAUCAGGUUUAUCCUGAUGAUGACUGAAAUAUAGUCGA
Paramuricea clavata is the source of this 105-nucleotide non-coding RNA. The record is from the annotation of a GenBank genome assembly. Lineage: Eukaryota; Metazoa; Cnidaria; Anthozoa; Malacalcyonacea; Plexauridae.